Molecule: long non-coding RNA, 2159 nt
Organism: Thalassophryne amazonica
Lineage: Eukaryota; Metazoa; Chordata; Actinopteri; Batrachoidiformes; Batrachoididae
Exons: 3
Source: RefSeq, a predicted model, not a curated record
UUAUGAAAAUAUUUUCCUCUGUAUGAACUUCAUUAUUUAUUAAUUUGUGAUUUAAAAAUUUUUAAAAUGUGCAUAAAUAUCCUAUGGACACAUUUUCAGUGUAUUUCUUUAUGUCAGAUCUGCCACAGAACAACUUUUAACAUCAAAUUAAAAAAAAAAAAAAAACACGAUAAACUUUGCACACAUUUCACCUAAAAUGUGAAAUGUGCCACAGCACUUGACGGUGUUUUGCCUUCUUGUUUGGCUGAACUCUACACCAGUUGUCUGUGGUGUCAGUCAUCGUUUCGGCAUGUUGCUCUUCAACCUGCUGAUGCCACAGAAGCAGUAGAUUACUUUGCCUUUUGAUAUCAACAUGUGUACUUCCCUCGGCGGCUCCCUCUGCUUGUGUGGCCCCGCUUGUACAUCGUCAGGGUAAACAUUUGUGCAAGAGACAAAUGUCUUCGCUGUGCGUGUGUGGGCUGUUCAGCGUGGCUCAAAGAACACUAAUAAGUGGACGCGGCCAUCGAGGUGGAAGUGAACUGCUGAACCUGAAUGUGAUCCAGCACGGCACCCUAAAUAGAGCCGGAGUCCACGGCUCCUGAUCCUCUUUGCUCCCCGACACAUCAUCAGUGUGGUGUCAGCGCUCGUCUCUGGGGUGCAACCGUUCGGGUUGAGAUGGAGUUUGGGAGUCAAAUGCAUCCAUGGAAAGACUUCCAGCAGCUGUCUGGGCCAGGCUGAGCCUCUGCUGCAUUAACAUCACUCACUCUCACCAUUUUGUUGUAAACGCAGAUGAAAUGACGGCACAAAGGCAUCUUUGACAGCUGUGGACUUGUGAACCCCGACUGACCUCAAGGUUGUUCUCAGUGCCGAACUUUCCCAACGUGACAUCACCUUGACGAACACUCUGAAAAUUUGGUUUCCACAUAUCAGCUUGAAUGAAUGAUGCAGAAAGACAAAUGGUAACAUUUUAGAAAUCAGAUGCUGGUGUUAUUGUAUUAUGCUGAUGAUGCUGUGCAAUUCAUCCCUCUUUUCAAAUUCUGUUUCCAAGCCACUGGGACUCUUUAUCCUCAUCACUUCUCUUUAAUCUUUAACUUUGAUCCUAUUUGCUGGACUCUUCAUCCUCAUCACUUCUCUUUGAUCCUGAUUAUAACAUCAAAGACGACAUUGUCCCCUUGAUCAUGAUCCAGAAACAGAAAAGGUAAGUCAGUGUCUUGUUCUCUGACAUGUCUGUGCAUGUGCUGCUGCCACACCACAUGCCAUCUUUAAGUUUGCGUCAUGUCUCGUGCUACAUAAAACCACAUGAGGACAGUUCUAGAGAGAAGCUGCUCCCAAUUCCCCGACAUGUCAGAUCACUCCUGUUAAUAACAAUAAUCACCCGAGAGACCAGCUUUGCCAUUUGUACAUUCAAGGCAACUGGGAGUUAAUAACAACCUAUUUUCCCUUCUUAUUGCUACCCGGCAAUUAAAACUCAUCAGACACCUCAUAUGUGAUACCCCCCAUCCACAGCACUGAUACAGUCGGACGCGCCUUCAACCCAUCACCCAAACCUCCCGCCCCCUCUUCUUACUGUGUCUAUUACACAAGGAGCCUUUUCACUUUCUCUUCAAUCUGCCUGCAUGAUAAUUGGCCCGGUUUGAAAGGUCCUACUCUAUCUGUCCAACUCCACCAGCCAUUAUUCUAAUCUGAAGAUGUGAAAUUGCCUAUAAUUUCCCUGAUGCCCACGUUACUUUGUUCAGCAAUGCUCGCCUCUUCUUCCCCGGCCCUGUGUGUUAACAAGGCACAUAAUGAUCAGGAAUGAGGAAAGGGCACCAGGCUGUGUAUAUAUAAAGAAGGAGAUGUUAAUGUAACACAAUGCUUGUCUUGAUGUGAGAGAAUCAGCGUGGAGGAGUGAAAAUACGGAGCUUGAUAUGGCUUUGUUACGGCUGCUGAAGGAUUUUCACCUCGUGCACAAAGCUUCAGCUCCCUGACUGAGGAAACACAAGGAAGCAGAGGAGGAGACGGAGCAGGAGAGGACGACCGGCCUCUAAUCUCUGCUCCAGGCACCAUCAGACAGAAACUAUCUGGAAGGCCCAUCGUCUCAUUCCUUAAGUGCAGCCACACCGCUGCUGCUGCAUGUAUGCGUGUGUGUGUGUGUGUGUGUGUGUGUGUGUGUGUGUGUGUGUGUGUGUGUGUGUGUGUGU